CACCUACGGGGCGCAGCAGUGAGGAAUAUUGGUCAAUGGGCGGAAGCCUGAACCAGCCAAGUCGCGUGAGGGAAUAAGGCCCUACGGGUCGUAAACCUCUUUUGCCGGGGAGCAAGGGCGGGGACGUGUCCCGGCCCGGAGAGUACCCGGAGAAAAAGCAUCGGCUAACUCCGUGCCAGCAGCCGCGGUAAUACGUAGGGGGCAAGCGUUAUCCGGAUUUACUGGGUGUAAAGGGAGCGUAGACGGCGCGGCAAGUCUGAAGUGAAAGGCAGGGGCUUAACCCCUGAACUGCUUUGGAAACUGCC
RNAcentral lists this ribosomal RNA (305 nucleotides) under uncultured bacterium. Its description in RNAcentral is "bacterial SSU rRNA". It matches the Rfam family "Bacterial small subunit ribosomal RNA", at positions 335 to 637 of the family's 1533-position model. The record is from RNAcentral.